UCAGUUACAUGUAGAUUACCGGGGCCAAAAAUUUGGAAAUCUAUGACUGCUGAUUAGAUGUUAAGUGUAAGAAAUUUCUUUCCAAAAGUACAUAUCACGUUAGCUCAAUGAAUAUAAUCUACGCCCAAAUUUGUAUUUGAAAUAUUUGUGAAGUUUUCAUUUAAUAUUUAUCAAUGAAACCACAAAAAGGCAGGGACACCCACAAACGUCCUUACAAAAAAAACACAUCACGAGGUUAUUUGACAUUAAAGGCGGUUAAGUAAAUAAAAGAAUGGCAAACAACUGUUAUUGCAAAUUAUUUUGAAAUAGCAUUUGUCUCUGGGGGAAAUAUCUGUCAGUAGUAUAUUAUACUUAAAAUAUAUAUAUUUAUAUAUAUAUGUGUUAACUACGUACAAAAGGGUUUUACUCUUGGUCGAUAUAUCACAAGGUUCAAAUAAGGUGGAAUUUGCUUCAAAAGGUUAUCUUAGUUUGAACUUGACGGAGUCAAAACUCGAAGAAAAAAAGAGAAAAGAAAAAAAAAGAUUACUCAUGUAGGAGUACUUUUGUUCGGAAGAUUACUAAUGAAUGAAACAGUCAUGCGGUGGGAAAAUAUCGGCUGGUUAUCGGUUCAUUGAGAAUGUAAGCGAGCCUUUGAUUGGUUGUUGUGGACACGGUCGAUAGCAUUCUCGCACGCGGUGUCAAGGUGAAACAUGUGAUACUUGAAUCAGACGAAAACGUGGUCUCAGUUCAAGUUGGAUAGUUUGAAAUAUUUGAAAUAAAAUAUUUAACGUUUAAUUUACUUUAAAAUAAUUUACACAGGAAUUACUUUUUAUCUUUGUAUUGCCUAAGUGACGCGAGUAUCGGUUUAUAUUGUAAUGUAAUGCGGAUGUACUAUAUUAUGUACGCUAUAGAUAUAUUAUAAUGAAAAAGAAACCGUGGAGGAAUUUAUUGAAGUUGGAGCUAUAAUUUAUUUACAAACUGCUUGAUACAGGAUUGGCUUAUUUAAUCGAUGAACCUUUUCAAAACGAAUGUAGAUAUAUUAUCCAUGGGGAGAUACUAGCCACGCAGUACCGAUAUAGGUGCGCAGACACCUACUAUAACAAGUUAUGAAACAUAUGUCUCACACAAGGUACGUAUAUUAAUCAUUUCCUAGUUUGUGAUUUUUGUGAUGCUAACUACGCGUAAGUACAUCUCUAUCUUAGUACUGUAUUUUUUUCUAGGACCUUGUUUUUAUUAACUAUUGUAUUGAUAUCAAGUUCGUUGUGGCUUUUAAAGCCUUUUUUAAAUGUCGACAGGAUACUUACAGUGUCUGUUAUGAAAGUACCUUAAGGGACAGUUUUUAGAUACUUUUGGAAGCUGACGCCAUGUUUAACGAUAAAAAUGACUUGACGCAAUAGUUGGGUGGGAAAAUGGGACAUGGCUUAUCAACGGAGAUUUCGCUGUAAUCUAAAUAAAGGUAUGACCAAAUUAUUCCUGUAUAAAGGAUAGUAAUGUUUUUAUAUAGAACAUGUUUUUCUUUACGAGCCGAGGAUGUUUUUAGCUUUAUAACGUUUAUUGUGUAUUUGCCAACCCGAGCAGUGAAUUCUGUACAUUUUUGUCAUUCCGAAAGAAAACCACAAACGUCAUUGGUGUGUUACUGGCAGAUGAAUAAAUAUGUGACUUUAUACUAGUUUGAUAUGUAGCGUUAGCAACAAAGGAUACAGAAUAAACUAUUGAUAGUACAUAAAUCGGAUGCGUAGUAUAGCCUAUACCACGAGGACAACUUUAGAACUUGUUCCGUCCUGCUCUUGAUCGACCAUAAGUACUGUAUAUUUCUUUUAUUACAUGUGUUUAACAUUUCUGUUUUACUUCUUGUUUACCAGAGACAUACGUAAUGACUUAUACACCAAAAUUAAAAUUACAAGUUAAAUGGUUAAGUUUAUAUAACGUUCUUUGAACUAUUUAUGACCUGUACUAUAUAGAUCAAAUAUUCCCUGACGUAGGUAUGGUGGGGAGAGGGUGUAGCACAUGGCUUUUGGCAUAGAAUGAAGAUGACUGAUUUAAAUCACAAUGUCGAAUUUAUAUCCCUUUAUGAGGAGAGACACACUUUCUUUGUCAACAGGAUAUUUCGUUGAAUAUGAAAUGGGUGCAAUUAGAUAUGAUAAUGUUAUACAGGAUAACAAAAGGUUAUAAUUUCAUGUUGUAAGUUUGCAAUAUAACAUGUAAGGUACAAUGACUGGAUGUGAGGUUAAAAUUAAAAAGGUUUAAAGCUACACCGUCGCAUAAUGAAUAGAAACGUUUCGGUAACCUUAUGGCAUUCGAAAAAGAAACAUUAAAGCUAUUUACUGUGACUUCGAGCCUAUUAAACUUGUUUAACACACAGAUACAGUAAAUGAACAUAACAAAUUUUGACAUAUAAGUUCAAAUAUGGACUAUGGAAAAGUCGCUUGAACUGAUGGAUGUAUACCGUUAUCUGACAUGAGCUCACUUUUUGUCAGUUGCUGAUGUUAACUUGUACUGUAUUUUAACCAUCAAGGGAAACAACUUCGUAAACCCAAAAAUUAUACACUUAAGCUCAAAUGUUGAACAAUUGCAAAACAGUCAAGAUAUGUAUUUGUGAAAUAGGAAACUGUUAUCAUGUCAAGAUGUCACUACCCAUUUAACUUGAUGUGUAAAACGUAAUUAUCUUUACAUAUAACCUGUCCAUUUUUGGAAAACAUUAUCUUCACUUCCUUUUUACAAGUCGGCGAUUCGAAACUGACGUGUACAAUUUUGCCCAUCCCAGGACCGGGUUAUUUUAUAUAUCUGUACGUUUAUGUAAUUCAUUUAUUUCUAAACGCUUGAUCACCGAAGGGAUAUUGCAUCAUUUGUAAGAACAAGAGUACAAGAGUCUCUUUAAUAGUUCUUUUUUUUUUAUAUUUCUUUAAACAGUUAUCGUUAAUCUAAAUACCAAACGCAAUUCGAAGGGGAGUUUUCUGUUAUGACACCAAUUUAUUUUGUUGCCCUG
This is a long non-coding RNA of Mercenaria mercenaria, 2965 nucleotides long. RefSeq lists it as uncharacterized. The transcript is spliced from 2 exons. NCBI's taxonomy places the organism in Eukaryota, Metazoa, Mollusca, Bivalvia, Venerida, Veneridae. The record is from RefSeq and is a predicted model, not a curated record.